GGGCAUCUAGCUCAGUUGGUAGAGGGCUUGCCUCGAAUGCACAAAGCCCUGGGUUCAAUCCCCAGCAACCCCC
This 73-nucleotide transfer RNA is filed under the name Urocitellus parryii (Arctic ground squirrel). Its description in RNAcentral is "Spermophilus parryii (Arctic ground squirrel) tRNA". It matches the Rfam family "tRNA". From Rfam's summary of the family: Transfer RNA (tRNA) molecules are approximately 80 nucleotides in length. The record is from Rfam by way of RNAcentral. RNAcentral also lists the same sequence under 1 other name. Lineage: Eukaryota; Metazoa; Chordata; Mammalia; Rodentia; Sciuridae.